GGUUGGUUCGUCCUCGGGGUUACCAUUUCAGUUCUGUUAUACUCACAGACAUUAUUUUAAGUUGUAGAAACUUUAGAGUGUUUUUUAAAAAUCCAAAUCUACCAAUGUUAUGCAUAUCCCAGCUUAUGGGCCUGACUAACAGGCCGUUUACUUUGGGCUCCCUUUUCACCCGGAGGUGGAAAUACUGCCCCCUACCCUAGAGAGGUUCAGCAUAUCCCAGGUUAUGGGCCUGAGUAACAGGCAGUUUACUCUGGGCUCCCUUUUCAUCCGGAGGUGGAAAUACUGCCCCCUACCCUAGAGAGGUUCAGCAUAUCCCAGGUUAUGGGCCUGAGUAACAGGCAGUUUACUCUGGGCUCCCUUUUCAUCCGGAGGUGGAAAUACUGCCCCCUACCCUAGAGAGGUUAAGCUGCCCUCAUAAAGGAUACUUUGGAUGACUACUGUUGUUUUUCAUCCGGAAUCACUCUGUAAACAAACACCCAGAAGACCUUUGCGGCUCCGCCAUCUUUAUAUUUGAUAGAGGUCAGGUUUUUCAGUUUAGACUUCUGGCUCUACUCUACGUGACAUUUUUGUAACAGGUGUGUGUAAGUAACAGUAGUUUACAAGUGUGUGUUGGUAAUUGAAGUUUACAGGUGUGUGUUUGUAACAGGUAUGUGUUUGUAACGUGUGUGUCCGUAACAGGUGUGUGUUUGUAACGGUAGUGUAAAGGUGUGUGCUGGUAACAGUAGUUUACAGGUGUGUGUUUGUAACAGGUGUGUGUUUGUAUCAGU
Oncorhynchus keta (chum salmon) is the source of this 767-nucleotide long non-coding RNA. RefSeq lists it as uncharacterized. The transcript has 3 exons. Lineage: Eukaryota; Metazoa; Chordata; Actinopteri; Salmoniformes; Salmonidae. The record is from RefSeq and is a predicted model, not a curated record.